AGACUGGAGGGCGAUCUGGCUGCAGAGUCUGUCAUCUCAUCGAUGGGCAGCGUUGAUUGGCCUGAUCUGGCUGGCUAGGUAGGUGACCCCUUCCUCCCUCACUGCUCCAUGUGUACCCUCCUGAAGCUGCACACUGAAUUGAAGAGGAUGGCCAUCCCCAAUAGGGGAGGACCACUUCCUCCAAACACGCUCUCAAAAACAAACAGAAACACGGUAAGGACAUAGCUCAGUGUUCGACC
This 239-nucleotide small RNA is filed under the name Fukomys damarensis (Damara mole-rat). RNAcentral's name for it is "7SK RNA (ENSFDAG00000003963.1)". The stretch from base 1 to 181 matches the Rfam family "7SK RNA". From Rfam's summary of the family: 7SK was discovered as an abundant small nuclear RNA in the mid-70s but a possible function has only recently been suggested. Lineage: Eukaryota; Metazoa; Chordata; Mammalia; Rodentia; Bathyergidae. The record is from RNAcentral.